UGCUUAAUCCAUAGGCGGGAAAAAGAGAACCAGGCAAAUUGAAGGAUCUUAGUAGCCAGAGGAAAAGAAAGAAAAAAUGAUUUUCGUAGUUGCGGUGGGCGAAAUGGGAGGUGUCUAAUAUGUGAAAAUGUGGUUGUGGGAUAGUAAUACAAGCACAGUGCAACUAGGAAAAGUAACCCAAAUGUUGCACCCUAGAUGGCAGAAUUCUACUAGCCGAAAGCAUAACUAGCUUAGGAUCUAGCCCGAGUAGUAUAGGGCAUGUGGAAUUGCGUAUGAAUCAGCAAGGACCACCUUGAAAGGCUAAAUACUCAUUGCUGAUCAAUAGAGAAGUAGUACCGUCGGGCUAAAGAACCUUGGGAUUUAAAUAGAACAUAAAAGCG
RNAcentral lists this non-coding RNA (380 nucleotides) under Solanum lycopersicum (tomato). RNAcentral describes it as "Bacterial large subunit ribosomal RNA". It matches the Rfam family "Bacterial large subunit ribosomal RNA", at positions 156 to 558 of the family's 2925-position model. The record is from Rfam by way of RNAcentral. Lineage: Eukaryota; Viridiplantae; Streptophyta; Magnoliopsida; Solanales; Solanaceae.